CCCUCCCAUCUGGUGAGAGAAUGUCCAGUGGAGGAACAGCCCAAGGCCGUCUCCCGUAGCAACCAGAUAAAGAGCUCGUCUUCAAAGCGUGGGAAAGGCAAGCCGAAGGCAGCUGGCAGAGACACUGAACGUAAACAUUUGGCUGCCUCUAUGGCUGUAGUCAAAAGUUGUCAACAGGAUGCUGAGCUGGCUUUUGUCAUAGACAGUGGAUCAUCGCAUCAUCUCGUGCCAUCUGGUGGAUUCCUGGAGAACUGCACCUCUGUAAAAUCUGGGAAGACUGUCUGUUUAGCAGAUGGGACUCGACACCCACUCACGCAGAGUGGCUCACUGUUUUGUUCUUUCUUGCAGGACACAAUCCAGGCUUUUGUUGUUCCAGGACUGUCCUGCGCGUUGCUGUCUGUCAGUGCACUUCUUGCUGAGAACUACAGAGUGUGUUUUGAGAACAAUAAGUGUUCUAUUUCCAAGAAUGGACAGCACCUAGUCAGUGUUGAAUGUAAAGACAGGUUGUUUGUGAUAAAUGCUUCUUUUGCAGGUCCAGAUGACACGGAUGACACGGAGGAGGCUCAAGCGCAGUGUGCCAAUGUUCCAGUUCAUGAUGCGUGUCAACAUCUCUGGCACCGACGCAUGUCACACGUGUCGUGGGGGUCGGUGAGAAGGAUCCCAGAGUAUACGCAAGGGUGCAAAAUGAAACCAUGUGCUAAGUUUCUAGAUUGCAGAGCGUGCAAGUCCGCAAAGGUGAAAACGUGCACAUACCCUAGGUCUGAGAGGGUGACCACUAGGGCUUUUCAAUUAAUUCAUGCAGAUUUGUGUGGACCGUUUUCUGUGAGCAGUUUGGGCGGAGCCAAAUAUUCGCUGGUUCUGAUUGAUGACCAUACUAGGAAUUCUUGGUGUUUCACGAUUCGGCGCAAAGAUGAAGCUGCGCCGCUAAUCAAAGACUGGAUUGCGGCUGUGGAACUGCAGUUUUCCACACGGGUGCAAAACUUUCAGAGCGAUCGCGGUGGGAGUUCACCGGGUCUGCACUGCAAAGUUUCUUCCGCAAAAAGGGAUUCAACACAGGUUGACUUCUCCACACAGUCCCCAACAGAAUGGGAUCGCGGAACGCAGGAACAGGACUCUAGGGAGAUGUCCGCAGCUCUUUUGUUUGAUGCCGGGCUCCCACAGCGCUUUUGGGGGAGGCUUGGCGAACGGCCAACUUUGUUCUGAACAGGUCGUUCAAUUCAGUAGUAGGUGACACACCGUAUUUCUUGCUUCGUGGCAAGAAACCGAAAGUGCACUACUUCCGCGUUUUUGGCUGUGAGGCUUGGGUCCUCAUACCAAAGGCCAAACGCAAGAAAGGUGAACCCAGGUCCCAGAAGAUGAUUUUUGUGGGUAUGAGCCAGGGACCAAGGGGUGGAGGUUUGCUUAUCCGUCAGGGAAUCAGUCCAGGAUUCUGCUCAGCAACAGUGCUGAAUUCUGUGAGCAGAGUGGCUGGGCAAGGAUACAUGGGAACCCUGACAUCCUGUCAGAGAGUCUGCUAGACUCUGCUGAUGAAGGAGAGGAAGAGGUUGAACCUGCUACUGAGGCUCAGAGUCCAGGCCCAGUGCAGGCAGAGGGGAGAACUUCUCCCAAGGCUGUGAAGAGUGAGCAACGCAGUGCUCCAUCUUCCCCACAGGUUCGGCUGAGAAGUCCAGAAGGCGCAGUAAGUCAGAGGGGGAGCUCUCUGAUGCCAAGGACGUUCUGGCUGGCCCUAGUGGGUCAGAGGGGGUUCCUGAAGUAGUGCUGCGCCGUUCAACGCGGACGACCAAGGGGAACCUCCUGAAAGGUUUGCCGUCACUAGUGUGUGGGUCGGAAUGGCACAGUGUGAACCCGAGAGUUUUGAGGAUGUUCAGAAACUGCCUCAGGAAGAAGCCAGGAAAUGGCAUGAGGCGAUGCAGAAGGAGAUGAACUCAAUGGAGUCUCUAGGUGUGUUCUCCUCACGAAGUUGCCGGUGGGUGAAAAGGCAGUGGGUAGCCGCUGGGUUUACCGUCUUAAGCCCACAGCGACAGGAGAACCGCAGUAUAAGGCCAGAUUAGUGGCGAGAGGAUUCACGCAGCAGAGGGGGUGCAUUAUACGGAGAGUUAUGCGCCCACGUGUAGGAGUGAGUCUCUACGCUUGGUCUUGGCCAUCGCUGCACAAAGAGGUUUGCUGGUGCAUCACUUUGAUGUGGAUGUUGCUUACUUGAACUCAGACCUCCAGGAGGAUCUGUACAUGCUUCCUCCUCCUGGGUUUGAGGGCAAUGAGCGAGGUACUGUGUGGAAACUUCACAAGUCAAUUUACGGCCUGAAGCAGUCGGCCAGGAAUUGGAACUUGUGCCUGAAUGAAGCUUUGGAGAAGCUAGGUUUCAGGAAGAGUCUUGCUGACAGUUGCCUGUUCCUUAGAGGAUCAGGAGACUCACAGGAACUGGUGUUGUUUUACGUUGAUGACAUCAUCCAUGUUGGAAAGGCAGACAAACAGGUGCAGAAGUUUGCCAAAGAGCUUGGGAAACGGUUUCAGCUCAAGGACCUGGGUGCAGUAAAGAUCUACCUAGGCGUCCAGAUAGCGAGAACUGAGGAUGGUAGCUUCUUGCUCAGUCAGAAAGGCAAGAUUGAGCAGUUGCUGGAGAAGUUCAGAAUGUCCGAUUGUGCAGGAGUUCGGACACCCAUGGAGACGAACUUCGUGAAAAGAUAGCCAGCAAGCAGAAAGUGCUGAGUUUGAGAAUGCUGAGCUCUUUCAGUCAGCUCUAGGUAGUCUGUUGUAUCUGUCCCAAUGGAGCAGACCAGACAUUGCCUUUGCUACCAACCUGCUAAGUAGGGAAGCGUCAAAGCCCAGUGUGAGUGCUUGGCACGGUAUCAAGCGGGUACUGCGCUACCUGCAGCAUACCAAAGACUUCUGUCUUAAGCUGCCAGCUGAAGGUGAGGCGAAGCUCACAUGCUAUGCGGACAGUGACUGGGCGAACUCGCAGGACCGCAAGUCUGUGUCUGGGUUGGUGAUAAAGUUUGGGAAGUCACUGGUUGGGUGGAAGUCCCGGAAGCAAAGUCUCAUUGCGCUGUCUUCUACUGAGGCUGAAUUCAGUGCACUGUCAGACUUGUGCCGAGAACUAGAGUUCUAUAGAUGCUUGGUGCAAGAGAUCUAUGGGGAUUGUAGCUUGCCCAUCACGGUUUGGGAAGACAAUCAGCCUUGUUUGAAGUUGGCUGAAUCUGCGCAAUUUAAAGCGAGAACCAAGCAUCUGGACAUACGUUUCCAAAAUGUGUGUCAGAGUGUUCAGUCAGGUUUGAUACGACUGAAGUACUGUGCCAGUCACAGUAACCUGGCCGAUGGAUUUACCAAACCUUUAAGCUUCCAGCGUCAUGGGGAGUUUUGUGGUGGUUUGGAGUUGGGGGUAAGUUCUGUACUUACCGUCCCCACAGUAGCGCAGGGCGAGAGGGGGUGUGAGGAGAACCUGAGCUUACAGGGUUAAACAGCUCAGACUGUACGCCCUGCCUACAGUUGGGAGGGGGGAGCUACGUCAGUUCCGAGAGACUAAAGUCUUUGUUCUGUCUCUCUACUUUCGCUUUUGAGGAGAGAGGACGUGUUUUCGCGAUGCUGUUCGCUGUGAUAGAUAAUGGAUAGCCUGCU
RNAcentral lists this long non-coding RNA (3612 nucleotides) under Podarcis lilfordi (Lilford's wall lizard). The record is from RNAcentral. Lineage: Eukaryota; Metazoa; Chordata; Lepidosauria; Squamata; Lacertidae.